ACUCCUACGGGAGGCAGCAGUGGGAAUAUUGCACAAUGGGGAAAGCCAUCGAUGCAGCCAUGCCGCGCUGUGUGAAGAAGGCCAAUUCGGGCUUGGUUAAAGACACUUUCAGUAGGGAGGAAGGUAGUGUAGUUAACACCUGCAUUAUUUGACGUUACCUACAGAAGAAGCACCGGCUAACUCCGUGCCAGCAGCCGCGGUAAUACGGAGGGUGCGAGCGUUAAUCGGAAUUACUGGGCGUAAAGCGCAUGCAGGCGGCCUGUUAAGUCAGAUGUGAAAGCCCGGG
RNAcentral lists this ribosomal RNA (286 nucleotides) under uncultured bacterium. RNAcentral's name for it is "partial 16S ribosomal RNA". It matches the Rfam family "Bacterial small subunit ribosomal RNA", at positions 335 to 606 of the family's 1533-position model. The record is from RNAcentral.